UCUUGGAAGUAGAGUACUCUACUCUUGGAAGUAGAGUACUCUACUCUUGGAAGUAGAGUACUCUACUCUUGGAAGUAGAGUACUCUACUCUUGGAAG
Non-coding RNA from Paramuricea clavata, 97 nucleotides. The record is from the annotation of a GenBank genome assembly. Lineage: Eukaryota; Metazoa; Cnidaria; Anthozoa; Malacalcyonacea; Plexauridae.